UGUAUCUGAAGUCUGACGAGGAUGAGAACCUCCGGAGGCAAGAGGUUCGACCCGAGCGAAGCGAGAAAAUGUUGCGUCAGCAACGGCCCGCAGGGCGAGCCACGCAGUGGCGAGUCAUCCUCUAUCACCGACCA
Molecule: small RNA, 134 nt
Filed under: Salmonella enterica subsp. enterica serovar Oranienburg
Lineage: Bacteria; Pseudomonadati; Pseudomonadota; Gammaproteobacteria; Enterobacterales; Enterobacteriaceae
Also listed under: 7 other names
Description: RtT sRNA
Rfam family: RtT RNA
About the family: This family represents a bacterial cis-regulatory element known as RtT RNA. The exact function of RtT is unknown although it is thought that it may be involved in changing the cellular response in relation to amino acid starvation.
Source: RNAcentral